GACGAACGCUGGCGGCGUGCCUAAUACAUGCAAGUCGAACGCUGAAGGGAGGAGCUUGCUCUUCUUGGAUGAGUUGCGAACGGGUGAGUAACGCGUAGGUAACCUGCCUUGUAGCGGGGGAUAACUAUUGGAAACGAUAGCUAAUACCGCAUAACAAUGGAUGACACAUGUCAUUUAUUUGAAAGGGGCAAUUGCUCCACUACAAGAUGGACCUGCGUUGUAUUAGCUAGUAGGUGAGGUAAUGGCUCACCUAGGCGACGAUACAUAGCCGACCUGAGAGGGUGAUCGGCCACACUGGGACUGAGACACGGCCCAGACUCCUACGGGAGGCAGCAGUAGGGAAUCUUCGGCAAUGGGGGCAACCCUGACCGAGCAACGCCGCGUGAGUGAAGAAGGUUUUCGGAUCGUAAAGCUCUGUUGUAAGUCAAGAACGGGUGUGAGAGUGGAAAGUUCACACUGUGACGGUAGCUUACCAGAAAGGGACGGCUAACUACGUG
RNAcentral lists this ribosomal RNA (497 nucleotides) under uncultured bacterium. Its description in RNAcentral is "partial 16S ribosomal RNA". It matches the Rfam family "Bacterial small subunit ribosomal RNA", at positions 28 to 507 of the family's 1533-position model. The record is from RNAcentral.